UUCCCUGUGUUAAGAGUCGUGGUACUAGCGAAGCAAAUUAGUCCAGAUUAAUGCGCAAGUAGACAAGUAAAAAAAAAGGCAAAGCUACAACAAGUGGAACAAUUAAUCUUAGAUAACUUCCAAGAUGAGGAAUGAGGAAAACAAAAGUCAAAAUGCUGCAAAUGAUAGCAGUGAUGAUUCACAAGCCAAGAAAAUGGAGAAUACAGAAAAUAGCUUAGAUGAUUGGAAUAAGAGAUGGGCCGAUAACAGGAUUGGUUUUCAUAAUGAAGCUGUUAAUGCAAAUUUAGAGAAACAUUUUGAAAAGAUGCUAAAUGGUAGAGAGACUAUAACUGUAUUUAUACCUAUGUGUGGCAAAACUGUAGAUAUAAAAUG
Molecule: long non-coding RNA, 372 nt
Organism: Patella vulgata (common limpet)
Lineage: Eukaryota; Metazoa; Mollusca; Gastropoda; Patellidae
Exons: 3
Source: RefSeq, a predicted model, not a curated record